UACGUAGGGGGCUAGCGUUGUCCGGAAUCAUUGGGCGUAAAGCGCGUGUAGGCGGCCCGGUAAGUCCGCUGUGAAAGUCGGGGGCUCAACCCUCGGAUGCCGGUGGAUACUGUCGGGCUAGAGUGCGGAAGAGGAGAGUGGAAUUCCUGGUGUAGCGGUGAAAUGCGCAGAUAUCAGGAGGAACACCUGCGGUGUAGACGGCUUUCUGGACCAUAACUGACGCUGAGAUACGAAAGCGUGGGUAGCAAACAGG
This 253-nucleotide ribosomal RNA is filed under the name uncultured bacterium. RNAcentral describes it as "partial 16S ribosomal RNA". It matches the Rfam family "Bacterial small subunit ribosomal RNA", at positions 524 to 776 of the family's 1533-position model. The record is from RNAcentral.